UCUUUGUCUUCAGAGGCGGGUUUGAACAGGAUGUGGAGAACGGCUACCAUCAGCACCCCGAUACCUGCCACGAUGUCUUGGCAACCACUCGCAAGCAGAACACAGCACUGGAUUCAGCGUAUGGGAAGACCACACCCACAAGCGCCAGCACAACCUAUCAUGGGGCGGCAUUCCCAAAGGAGGCAGGUGACCCUGAAAGAGGUACAGGUCCUGAUCGCCCUCCCCCUGUUGGGGAACAAGGGUCACCUGACUCGGAGCCAAUCAGUGUGGAGAUG
Pelmatolapia mariae (spotted tilapia) is the source of this 275-nucleotide long non-coding RNA. RefSeq lists it as uncharacterized. The record is from RefSeq and is a predicted model, not a curated record. Lineage: Eukaryota; Metazoa; Chordata; Actinopteri; Cichliformes; Cichlidae. The transcript is spliced from 3 exons.